Molecule: ribosomal RNA, 253 nt
Filed under: uncultured bacterium
Lineage: Bacteria
Description: partial 16S ribosomal RNA
Rfam family: Bacterial small subunit ribosomal RNA
Source: RNAcentral
UACGGAGGGUGCAAACGUUGCUCGGAAUCAUUGGGCGUAAAGCGCACGUAGGCGGGCCGCUAAGUCGGAUGUGAAAGCCCUCGGCUUAACCGAGGAAGUGCAUUCGAAACUGACGGUCUUGAGUAUGGAAGAGGGUCGCGGAAUUCCCGGUGUAGAGGUGAAAUUCGUAGAUAUCUGGAGGAACACCAGUGGCGAAGGCGGCGACCUGGGCCAAUACUGACGCUGAGGUGCGAAAGCGUGGGGAGCAAACAGG